RNAcentral lists this unclassified non-coding RNA (377 nucleotides) under plant metagenome. RNAcentral describes it as "partial contains 5.8S ribosomal RNA, internal transcribed spacer 2, and large subunit ribosomal RNA". The stretch from base 1 to 105 matches the Rfam family "5.8S ribosomal RNA", at positions 50 to 154 of the family's 154-position model. The record is from RNAcentral.
GAAAUGCGAUAAGUAAUGUGAAUUGCAGAAUUCAGUGAAUCAUCGAAUCUUUGAACGCACCUUGCACUCCUUGGUAUUCCUUGGAGCAUGCCUGUUUGAGUAUCAUGAAAUCUUCAAAGUAAAUCUUUUGUUAACUCAAUUGGUUUCUACUUUGGUAUUGGAGGUCUUUGCAGCUUCACACCUGCUCCUCUUUGUUCAUUAGCUGGAUCUCAGUGUUAUGCUUGGUUCCACUCGGCGUGAUAAGUUAUCUAUCGCUGAGGACACUGUAAAGGUUGCCAAGGUAAAUGCAGAUGAACUGCUUCUAAUAGUCCAUUGACUUGGACAAUACUUUUAUGAUCUGAUCUCAAAUCAGGUAGGACUACCCGCUGAACUUAAGC